RNAcentral lists this long non-coding RNA (3130 nucleotides) under Paramuricea clavata. Lineage: Eukaryota; Metazoa; Cnidaria; Anthozoa; Malacalcyonacea; Plexauridae. The record is from RNAcentral.
CCACUUGACAAGUAAAAUCCUGUGGCGUUAGACAGUAAAAUACUAAAGUAGGGUGCAUCUGGGUGCAAUGCAACUUAAAGGGUUAAAUUAACCAAAAAAAGUUCAUACAUUUGUUUGAAAAAAAGAUUUUAACACAGUACCAUGCCUGUUUGUAUUUUGAAGUUCCUUGAGUUAAACAUGAUACUGCAUAAAACCCUAGUAGGGAACCACCUCCAGACCAAUUUACACUCACCUGCGACAAAAUAGGGAGGUUGUGUGCUUGAUUUGCACAGUGCAACUCAAGUUGUAAGCAUUUUGCAUGGGACCAUCUGAUGCACAAGACUUUCCUCUUGAUGAGUAAAAUGAUCUGAUAUCAGACAUUUGAGUUCCUUUGCAGCUUAAGGAGUUAAUCCUAUUUAUCUUAGAGAACAGCAAUUCAACUAUCUGGCUGGCUUGACAAAUAACUAUACACCAACAAUGUGUGCAAAGGCAAUUAAGUGUAUCCUUGGAAAAUUUUAUCUGAGAUUAUGCAGAGGAGUUUACAACUUUUUUGUUCAAGCCUAGUGACUUAUUUCAGUGCAUGAAAAUCAUCCCACCUUUCAUCCUGUCCUGACAAACUGGGAUCAUGUAAACAGCACAUUUAGCCAUUAAGUUGAUUUGCACUCUAAUUUUCCUACUUAUAUUAUUUAACCCUGUCUAACGUCAUACAAUUUUAUUAAGCAGGGGGUGCACUGGCAGUUAAUUAAUGGGUAACUAGACACAUGGGCAGUCUCAUUAUGAAGCAUAAAAUCGUCUAGCGUUGGACAGUAAAAUACUCAAGUAGAGCAUGCAUCAGGGCACAGUACAACCUAAUGGUUAAAUUUGUUUUUUGUAGCAAAAUGGUUUAAGUUUGAUAUCUGAAUUUUUUUUAUUUUUUUUUUUGCUUUGUUUUACAGAUCAUUACUUGAACGAUCUGAUGAAAUAUUGAUUUAUAAAAUAUCAUGUUAUCAAGAUGACAUGCCUCGAAGAGCAAUACAUGAGGGAAUACCUCUAUUUCUAAUCAAAUUACAACAAUACACCAAAGACAGUAGUUCUCGGAUGAAAUGAAAGGAUUGAUAAAUGUUCAUGGCCAGCAGCGGAUAUUUGUGACUAUAAUAAAUGGAUACAAAGAAACUAUGAUGGAUAAAUAUGGCCCCGUAAUGGAUAUUCAGUUGAUGGACAUACAAAGGUCACAGAAAUGUCUAUUUUCAGGUACUGUUUUUUUGUUUUUAUUAGCUUCGCCAACUAGGGCAGGGUCACCACAUCUUGUUUGCCUGCAUCUUGUUUGCCUGCGAACAGGCUGUAGACACUUGUAUCCAGGCCAUUGUUUGUUUGUUUUUUGUUCUGGGUACAAUGAAAUCCGGCAUAAAUCCUGGCGGUCUAAAUGUUCAGUAUAUUUACAAAUUCGAUCUAUUUUCUGUUCAGUAGACUUUGAUAGCUUGAAAGAAAGUUUAUAACGAUGAUUUUCUCUGCAAAAACUGUACUUUCGAAAUUCGUCAGCUUCUGAAUUUGAUAACCGAUCUGAAAAAAAAAGGGAACAUUUGAGUGUAUGGUUAUUGCAUGGUUCUAUAUAUAUUCUAUAUAUACUGCCUUUGUGCACACGCAUAACAAGUGCAGCAACGCAACAGUUUAGACAGGGUCAUGAGGCAGGAUGUGUACAAGAAAAGCUUUGCCAGAGUUUUGUCUUUCGAAAUAGAACGACGAUUGGAAAUUGCUGUUUGAUUCUUUGUAAUAUCUUGUCGCUUGUUAGUGAAAAAGAAAUUUGUCACUUUCCUCAUCUAAGGCCCUGUUUACAUGAGACCGGAACGAAGUCAAACCGGGACCAUUUCGUUUCGGUCACAGUAUUAUUUAUAAUAGAUGUUUAAAUGAGACCGGGACGAAAAUAACUCAGACCGGUCUCAAGUCAUUCCGCCUGCUGAACCGAACCGACUGACUUCAGACCGGCAUGAAUUCAGACGGGGAUGAAUGUAAACAGAAAUACAUUUCAGACCGGUCUCGGCUGUAACCUUGACAUUGGAACAACACAUGCUAACAAAGCCAUCUGAAAAAGAAAAUUGCCCUGGCAAGGGGAGAAAAUUUUGUGAUUUUCGUACCGGUCUCAUGUAAAGAUAUUGACAAUUUCAAUUUUCGUCCCGGUCUCAUGUAAACGGGGCCUAAACCUUUUUUUUUCAAAAAACUGGCAUCGUUUGUCUUGGGGUUAGGGGGUACAAAUGGUACCCAUAGCUUAGAGGGUGCAAAUGGUACCCGUAAGAAGACUUGGUGGAAAUCAUGUUGGUCGUUUGGAUCGGCGAGAAUAAGACAAUUAUGGUGGCAAAGUUUUUUUAAACAUUUUCUCUCCCGUAGUAAGGUAAAGCAUGUAUUUUCUUGGUAGCCGGUCUUCAUGAAAAAAUAGUCCGCUACCAGUGACUAGGUCCCCUCUCUUAUGGCGGUUAUUCCGGCUCAAUAUCUUGCAUGCGGAUAAUAUGGUCCGUCGCGUGCGCAAAAUAGUUAGGGAGUUAGACAGUUUAGCAGCGUCCAAACUGCGCAAUAUACGACACUCACAUGAAACGUAAAAUACUUUAUAAUAAUUCACAAAAUUGCGAAAACAAAAAAUUGACAAUUUUGCAAUUUGAAUUGUGCGUUUCUGGCAAAUGCCUUUAGAUUCAAGUUGUAACGACAAUUUACAAGCGCAUUAAGUGUAAAUACGGCAUUAUUUCUAAUGAAAAGACCGCCAGGGUUAGAGUGUUUUUAUGUGGUUUGUUAAGGAGCAAACUCGCUUUUUAAAAAAAGAAAUGUGUAUUAAUUUCGAUCCAGAUUUGUUCCUGAACAUGGUCGCCAUGAAAACACUCUGUAGAGCAAGCUCAGCGACGUACGGUCAUAAUAGCGUCGUCGGAAGUUUGCAUUCAGCAUUUUCGUUCAAAAUUGAACGUACAUUAUGCUAUGCUAGGGUUGCGUACAAUCGGUACCCACACGAUGUGUAGCAAUUCUAAAGGAAUAACUAAUACGUAUAAAUAGGGUGUGCGCACGAAGUUUUUUUCGCAGGCCUUAAUAACUUCGGGGAAAAUAAUAAAAAAAGCAGUGUCCGUGGUCGGGGCUGAAUAGUACUGUGGAAGAUUGGGUUGGAAAAUUUGCAAUUAAGAUCUGUAUUUUUGGG